UCACAAGAUCAGGAGAUCAAGACCAUCCUGGCUAACACGGUGAAACCCCAUCUCUACUAAAAAAUACAAAAAGUUAGCCGGGUGUGGUGGCACAUGCCUGUGGUCCCAACUACUUGGGAGGCUGAGGCAGGAGAAUCACUUGAACCCAGGAGGCAGAGGUUGCAGUCAGCUGAGAUCGUGCCACUGCACUCCAUCCUGGGUGACAGAGUCAGACUCCAUCUCAAAAAAAAAUAAAGAAAAAGAAAAUGGGCACUGACAAAGGUGAAGUUACUGCUCAAGAUUAUGCAGAUAAGAGGUGGAGGAGGCAGUGUUGAUAGUCAGGCUUAUCUGACUUCUGCGUGUGACACUGGAGGAGGCAGCAAGGCAGCCUGCCAGAGAACUGCAAAGGCAGGGCUCCCCAAGACUUUAAGGAGCUUUGGGAAGUCCACUCAACUGAGAAAUGAGGGAGAAGGGAGUUAAAGGAAAUAAACUACAUUUAUUUACUAUUUUAUUUUUUAUUAUAGUCAGGUGCAGUGGCUUACACCUGUAAUCCAACACUUUAGGAGGCCAAGGUGAGAGGAUCGCUUGGGGCCAGGAGUUCAAGACCAGCUAGUCAACAUAGCGAGACCCUGUCUCUACAAAAAGAAAAAUUUUUUUAAAAAUUAGCUGAGCAUGGUGGUGAGUGUCUAUAGUCCCUGCUACUCACGAACCUGAGGCAGAAGAUUGCUUGAGCCCAAAAGUUUAAGGUUGCAGUGAGCUCUGAUUGCACCACUGCACUCCAGCCUGGGCAGUAGAGCAAGACCCUGUCUCAAAAAAAGGAAAAGAAAAUGCUAUCACGUGCUCUCUUUGGCAGCACAUAUACUAAAAUUGGAACGAUACAGAGAAGAUUAGUAUGGCCCCACACAAGGAUGACAUGCAAAUUCAUGAAGCGUUAUUCCUCAGAGAGCUAAAAGCAGAACUACCAUCGACCCAGCAAUCCCAUUACUGGGUAUAUACCCAGAAGAAUAUAAGUCAUUGUACCAUAAAGACACGUGCAUGCAAAUGUUCACUGCAGCACUGUUCACAGCAGCAAAGACAUGGAAUCAACGUAAAUGUCCAUUAAUGGCAGAUGGAUAAAGAAAAUGUGGUGGCUGGGUACGGUGGCUCACGCCUGUAAUUCCAGCACUUUAGGAGGCCGAGGCGGGCAGAUCACCUGAGGUCAAGAGUUCGAGACCAGCCUGACCAACAUGGAGAAACCCUGUCUCUACUAAAAAAUACAAAAUUAGCCAGGCCUGGUGGAACAUACCUGUAAUCCCAGCUACUCGGGAGGCUGAGGCAGAAGAAUCGCUUGAACCCGGGAAGUGGAGAUUGCUGUGAGCCAAGAUCAUGCCAUUGCACUCCAGCCUGGGCACCAAGGGUGAAACUCCAUCUCAAAAAAAAAAAAGAAAAGAAAAAUGUGGUACAGAUACACCAUGGAAUACUAGGCAGCCAUUGAAAAGAAUGAGAUCAUGUCUUUUGUGGAAAUGUGGAUGGAGCUGGUGGCUAUUAUCCUCAGCAAACUAGCGAAGAAACAGAAAACCAAAUACUGCAUGUUCUAGCUUAUAAGUGGAGACUAAAUGAUAAGAACUUGUGAACAAACACAAAGAAGGAAACAAUAGACAUGGGGGUCUACUUGAGGGUGGAGAGUGGGAGGAGAGAGAGGAGCAGAAAAGAUGACUAUUGGGUACUGGGCUUAAUCCCUGGAUGAUGAAAGAGUCUGUAGAACAACCUCCAUGACACUCGUUUACCUAUGCAACAAACCUUCACAUGCACCCCCAAACCUAAAAAUUAAAAAGAAAUG
Molecule: long non-coding RNA, 1798 nt
Filed under: Homo sapiens (human)
Lineage: Eukaryota; Metazoa; Chordata; Mammalia; Primates; Hominidae
Source: RNAcentral